Molecule: long non-coding RNA, 1351 nt
Organism: Stegostoma tigrinum
Lineage: Eukaryota; Metazoa; Chordata; Chondrichthyes; Orectolobiformes; Stegostomatidae
Exons: 4
Source: RefSeq, a predicted model, not a curated record
GAUGUCGCCCAAUCGGAAUGAAGGGAGGGCGGGAUCAGUGAAAACCACGUGAUCAUCCACGAGUGCGGUGCAGAGUCGCUGAGAUAACCGGAACUGCAGAUGCUGGAGAAUCCGAGAUAACACGGUGUGCAGCUGGAUGUACACAGCAGGAAAGCUGACGUUUCGGGCCUAGAUCCUUCGCUGAGACCAAGAUUUGUGCAAUUGAGAUACCAGCGAUCGUUGCCAAAGCCCUGUUACCUGUGGAGAAGGUGAUGUUUAACUUUCGUGUGCUACUGCAGUUUGUAUGAUAAAGGUGCUCUCACAAUGCUCCAUUUGAGAAGUUACAGAUCAUUCAUCUAGCGAUACUGAAGAGCUAAUGGUGAUAUUACAAGUGGACUUUCAGGUAGGAAGCUCAAUAAUUGUAACACCAAACUCUGACAGAAUUACUCAAUUCAUCAGGACCUGGAUAUUCGCAUUGUGUAUUCCCACAAUUUUACUUCUGCACUAUUCUUAGUCUUUCAGAGGGAUCGAAAGGUUGAGUUACAGAUCUAUACAAUGACUGUCCUUCCUCGCUGGCUUCCCCCACCUCUCUUUUGGUAGUUUUAUGCAAACACUGACUGGAUCCCUUACCUGGAGGAUAUUUAUGAAUGAAUUUGUUCUAAUGGUGAUCCAGCAUUUUCCCCAAGUAUCGCUCCACACAUGCCCAGAGAAUUUCUCAGUUUCACAAUCUGUGUCCUUCUGGUUUCUUACUCGCUACACUUAACUUUCUGUUUGAAAGUAUAGUCUGCAGUUGGAGAAUUUUAACAGGUCCACAUCCAGGUCUGACGGUCACUUUGUUUAUCACAACCCAAUUAUCUCAGGGUUUUGAACAUUGAAGGAAAACGCAGCACUCACAUUGGGGAGAAAUGCACAUGGUGUGUGUGUUGAAGAGUCUGUGAAGAUUCAUCUGAAAUGUCCGAACACCAGUGCAGUGACACUGGGAGACAGUGUGGAAAUGUGCAGAUUGCAGGAAGGAAUUUCUUCAUCCAUCCCAGCUAGAAACUGACCACCAGAGUCACACUGGAGAGAGACCAUUGGCCUGUUCUGCAUGAGGGAAAGGCUUUGCUGAUUCGAAUUCCCCGCUGAUACACCAGCGAGUUCACUCUGGGGAGAGACCUUUCAUGAGCUCUGAGUGUGGGAAGGGAUUCAUUGUCAUCCAAACUGUUAACACACCAGCGAGUUCACAGACAACCACAGUUGAAGAACUUUGCUGUCACUCUCACUAUCAAAUGAACCAUGGUUUUGGGCUGUUUGUACAGAUGUUACCGACCCCUGCUCAAUUAAAGGUGCUGGUAUUGUGAAUAAAAUGUCACACUAACAGUUGUGUAAGGUA